ACAUAGCUGCUUGGGCCAUGGGUCUAUAGGAAAGGCGGUGAAGUCUGCCCAAUGGCCGUAACAGAAAAAACUAGGUAUAGCGUAGCGAGUAAAGCCGGUUAAAUGGCCGCGGUAACUCUGACCGUGAUAAUGUAGCGCAAUAACUAGCCAGUUGAUUGCUGGAAUGUAUGAAAGGCUUAACGAGUGCCCUGCUGUCUCAAGGUGAGGACCAGUGAAAUUGAAGAGAUAGUGAAGAUGCUAUUGUGAGCUGUAAGACGAGAAGACCCCGUCGAGCUUUACUACAAACUAAGAGGGUGCAUGAUGAGGACAGGGGUGGAAAUCACAGCAGUAGGCAAUCAGUAUAAUCCGUAAGGAAAGUCUUAGUGGGGUAGUUUGGUUGGGGCGACGGCCUUUAAAAAAGUAACAAAGGUGCACAAAGGUGAGGAUGUAAUAGAAAGAGCUAUGUGAGAGAGAAAACCUGACAGUGAGGAGUACGGCCUAGCUGACAUAAGAGAAAAUUGUGGGUUAUAGUGACCAGUUAUUAUGGAGUGGGGCAAAUAACGAUCAACGGAUAAAAGCUACCGCGGGGAUAACAGCGUUAUCUGUUUCAAGAGCUCGUAUCGACGAACAGGUU
RNAcentral lists this ribosomal RNA (613 nucleotides) under Isodictya sp. GLH-2013. Its description in RNAcentral is "partial 16S ribosomal RNA". It matches the Rfam family "Bacterial large subunit ribosomal RNA", at positions 1813 to 2518 of the family's 2925-position model. Lineage: Eukaryota; Metazoa; Porifera; Demospongiae; Poecilosclerida; Isodictyidae. The record is from RNAcentral.